RNAcentral lists this ribosomal RNA (448 nucleotides) under uncultured bacterium. Its description in RNAcentral is "bacterial SSU rRNA". It matches the Rfam family "Bacterial small subunit ribosomal RNA", at positions 355 to 825 of the family's 1533-position model. The record is from RNAcentral.
UCGGGAAUUUUGGGCAAUGGGCGAAAGCCUGACCCAGCAACGCCGCGUGAAGGAUGAAAUCUUUCGGGAUGUAAACUUCGGAAGAAUAGGAAGAAUAAAAUGACGGUACUAUUUUUAAGGUCCGGCUAACUACGUGCCAGCAGCCGCGGUAAUACAGAGGGUGCAAGCGUUGUUCGGAAUUACUGGGCGUAAAGCGCGUGUAGGUGGUCGAGUAAGUCGAAUGUGAAAGCCCCGGGCUCAACCCGGGAAGUGCAUCCGAAACUGCUCGACUAGAGUCCCGGAGAGGAAGGCAGAAUUCCCAAUGUAGGGGUGAAAUCCGUAGAUAUUGGGAGGAAUACCGGUGGCGAAGGCGGCCUUCUGGACGGUGACUGACACUCAGACGCGAAAGCGUGGGGAGCAAACAGGAUUAGAUACCCCUGUAGUCCCUGAGCGGGCUGGCAAGGCGCAU